UCCUCGGUGGCUCAGUCGGGUAGAGCGUCUGCCAUGUAAGCUGAAGGUCCCGGGUUCGAGUCGCGGUCGGGGCA
Molecule: non-coding RNA, 74 nt
Organism: Schistocerca gregaria
Lineage: Eukaryota; Metazoa; Arthropoda; Insecta; Orthoptera; Acrididae
Source: the annotation of a RefSeq genome assembly